Molecule: long non-coding RNA, 905 nt
Organism: Glycine soja
Lineage: Eukaryota; Viridiplantae; Streptophyta; Magnoliopsida; Fabales; Fabaceae
Exons: 2
Source: RefSeq, a predicted model, not a curated record
UCAACUUUUGUAGGAUAAGAUCAAGUGAAGAAAGAUAAAAUAUCCCACACAUCGCAAGGAGUUGCGGUUGGCUUGAGUUUAGGGCUCAGGUUAGUGAUAUAAUAUUAUGUUAUGAGAGAAAAAAUAUUAGGUAAAACUAGAUCAUCACCUGGUUCAUAUUCCUAAACAAUAAAUCCCAAAGCACAUAAUCAAGGAUUUCCUUUGAUCAUUUUUAUAAGAAGCAAAAGUUGAAAUCUAUUUUAUAUGACAAUCAUGUUGGUAAUCAGUUUUGCAGAAUUUUGGUAAAUCAAUAAUGAAAUUGGAAAAUUUUAAAGUUGAAGUAGUUCGGUUAGCAAAUUGGGAGUUGCUUAGCACAAGCAUGAACAACAAGGAAGGUCACAGGGCAAGCAUUUAAAGGCUACUCGGGUAGAUCUGAAACUUGGUGCGCGCUUAGCAUGAAUUGAGUGUUCAACGAAUUAUUUUCAUUGUCAUAAAUUUAGGCUCAGCGCGCAAUCACUUGAACAAGUGCUGCUUUCAUAUGAGCACUUAGCUCGAAAGCUGGGCUAAGCCUGCAACCACUUAAACUAGUGCAACUUUUGUAUGCGCGAGCAAGUGCGUCCUAAGCGCACAUGUCUUUAUGGAUAAACGACAGUGCAACGCUCUUGGACCUAUUUAAGAACUUUUUCAUUUGAGACAAAGGGGGGAUCGACCUAGGUUUGGUGUGCAGCGACUAAACCUCCCGUCUAUCUCCAUCUUCCAUUUCCUCCAUUUCCCUUCAUUUUCUCCCUUCCAUUUAUAAUUUUGAGGCCUCUCAUAACAAUGAGAGGCUACUUUAUCCUUUGUUGGGGAAUUGAUGUAUUAAGUUUACUCUUAUGUAGUUAAUCUUCAUAUUUAUUCAAUGUUUAUUCAUGUGUUAUUAUUUCUUU